Molecule: ribosomal RNA, 516 nt
Filed under: uncultured microorganism
Description: bacterial SSU rRNA
Rfam family: Bacterial small subunit ribosomal RNA
Source: RNAcentral
GAGUUUGAUCGUGGCUCAGGAUGAACGCUGGCGGCGUGCCUAAUACAUGCAAGUCGAGCGAACGGACGAGAAGCUUGCUUCUCUGAUGUUAGCGACGGACGGGUGAGUAACACGUGGAUAACCUACCUAUAAGACUGGGAUAACUUCGGGAAACCGGAGCUAAUACCGGAUAAUAUUUUGAACCGCAUGGUUCAAAAGUGAAAGACGGUCUCGCUGUCACUUAUAGAUGGAUCCGCGCUGCAUUAGCUAGUUGGUAAGGUAACGGCUUACCAAGGCAACGAUGCAUAGCCGACCUGAGAGGGUAAUCGGCCACACUGGAACUGAGACACGGUCCAGACUCCUACGGGAGGCAGCAGUAGGGAAUCUUCCGCAAUGGGCGAAAGCCUGACGGAGCAACGCCGCGUGAGUGAUGAAGGUCUUCGGAUCGUAAAACUCUGUUAUUAGGGAAGAACAUAUGUGUAAGUAACUGUGCACAUCUUGACGGUACCUAAUCAGAAAGCCACGGCUAACUACGUG